RNAcentral lists this ribosomal RNA (291 nucleotides) under Micromonospora haikouensis. Its description in RNAcentral is "23S rRNA. Bacterial LSU". It matches the Rfam family "Bacterial large subunit ribosomal RNA", at positions 2639 to 2925 of the family's 2925-position model. Lineage: Bacteria; Bacillati; Actinomycetota; Actinomycetes; Micromonosporales; Micromonosporaceae. The record is from RNAcentral.
UAUCCGCCGUGCGCGUAGGAUACUUGAGAAGGGCUGUCCCUAGUACGAGAGGACCGGGACGGACGAACCUCUGGUGUGCCAGUUGUCCCGCCAGGGGCACGGCUGGUUGGCUACGUUCGGAAGGGAUAACCGCUGAAAGCAUCUAAGCGGGAAGCCUGCUUCAAGAUGAGGUAUCCCACCCCACUUUGUGGGGGUAAGGCCCCCAGCUAGACGACUGGGUUGAUAGGCCGGAGAUGUAAGCUCGGUAACGGGUUGAGUUGACCGGUACUAAUAGGCCGAGGACUUGACUAC